RNAcentral lists this long non-coding RNA (1909 nucleotides) under Sus scrofa (pig). Its description in RNAcentral is "lncRNA (ENSSSCG00070030159.1)". Lineage: Eukaryota; Metazoa; Chordata; Mammalia; Artiodactyla; Suidae. The record is from RNAcentral.
CUUUCCUCCCAUCCCCUUGACCUUCCAGGGAAGGGGCUGAGGUCCCUGAAGGCUGGAGCAGACCUGAGUUGCUCAGGGUGCCUGUCUGGAGCAGGGGUAUUUUUAGAGUUGGCUGCACUGUUUACUAGGAAGCCAGCCUGUCCCCUGAACCUUCCCUCUGUCUACGGGGGAGCACUGGCUGCCGGUCCCACCCACUGCCUCUGCGGCUCUGGCCCUUCCUCCCUCCCUCCCAGCUGCUCCUUCCCUGUCCUCUCUGUCACUACGUGGACUCUCUCAGCACAUGGGUGCGCUGUCAUCACGACCCUGGGAGACUAUAACAACAGAAAGAGGUGGCCCUUGUCCCCUCCCCCUGACCACCAGGCACAAGAAAUGGCUUGCUUAAUGGGACAAAAGGCUGAAAGAGUAACAGUGCCAGCAAGUAAGUUUGACAGGUGUGACUGGAGUGUAGGGUCUGGCAAGGGAGAAAGUCAGGUGAGCAGACUGGAGACCCAGGAUGGAACUGUCGUGCCAGGAGCCCACCACGGGAAGCCACGGCCACUCCUGUCCUGCGUUAGGGGCCGCCUCAGCAAGAAUGUCAGGCUGGGCUGCAGGAGGGAGAAACAGCAGCAGGGAGGCCCCCCAGGACACAGCGACAGGACUUCUGGGCUUAAUCCUUCAUCCUUCCUUCUAACACCCUAGACUUUGCAAACCCGAACAUUCCUGGGAUGUGCUCAUUUCCAGUCCUCUCCUCACCCACAUUCUUCGUCUUACUAGCUGGUGACCUUCGACAAGUUGUGUGGCUUGAUUUCCUUCACCUGUAAUUCAGAGAAAGUGCGUGUGCCUAUGUGCACACACUCAAGGGUAUACACACACACACCCCCAAAGGGUUGUUAUGAAGCUGCAGUAAAUAAGACUGUGGAAGGAAGCCUUCUGGAAAGCACAGGCUGUACCGAUCUCUCCUCGCCUGCCCUCAGCUGCUAUUCCCAUUCCACGAGGGGAAAUCCUUGCCCGGAAAGCCCUGCUCGCCUUGGCGUGGGGCCCAGGGCGGGCGCCCCCGUGGAGGCCAGGUCUUUCCCUUCCCAUUUCCCUUGUUGAUUCCAGUGCAACGGUUGCUGGCUUGCAGGUGGACAGCCAGGGCUCUGGACUUGCCCUGCUGCAGGGAUAAGGUCCCCCUUGGCUGCUCAGGCUCUAUGGCUGACACUGGGGACCUGGAGAGGUUCAAGGGGCCUUGGCGAGGGGGGGAAAUCUCAGUUAUCUCAACGGAGAUGGACGGGGAUUUCUUAUGUUCAGGCUAUACAGCUCAGAGUUGAUAUGCCGCCUCUACGAAGGCCUUUGGACAAGAUGAAGAGGCGAUGCUGGGGAGGUGCUCUGAGCCAGGGAAGAGGGGCGACAUGGCAGCGGGGCGGGGAGCAAGAAUCCCAGGAAGCGGACAGAACUUCAGGAAGGCAGAGGUGUGGGUGAGCAGGAAGCAGGAGCACUUGCAGGCAGCCUGCAGCUCCUCCCCGCACCUACCUGCUGCUGAGGUGGCCUUUGGCUUUGACCUCUCCUUCUUCCCCCCUGCCCCCACCCCCACUGAUUAACGAGUCCCCAGGUUUUCAGGUCUUAGAUGUCUCCAGUACACUUCCUCUCUCCUCUAGUCCUGUGGCCACUGCCUGCAACUCACAGCCCUUUCUGGCUUCACCAGACUGCCUGUGGACUCCCUGCCAUGAAAGGAGUUACCUUUUCUUUGGCAGAGACCUGUAACCCCCUCCAUUGGACCUGUUGGUUUAUCUUAUCCAUUUCUGUCAACUCCAAAGCCACACACCCUGUUCUUACCUGCAAAUCUUCAUACAGGGUAUGGCACUUAGCAUAGGCUGAAAAAACAAUCUUUUUUUUCUCUUUUCCGGAAUGGGGAAAUAAAUAAAGCCAAAAAGGAAGGAAGGAAAGAGAG